RNAcentral lists this small RNA (387 nucleotides) under Pan troglodytes (chimpanzee). RNAcentral's name for it is "retained intron". The record is from RNAcentral. Lineage: Eukaryota; Metazoa; Chordata; Mammalia; Primates; Hominidae.
GUGAGUUCCUGGUGGACAUCAAGCCCUCCUUGACUUUUGAUGUCAUCCCCCUGCUGGACCCCUAUGGGCCCGCUGGCUCUGACCCCUCCCUGGAGUUCCUGGUGGUCAGCGAGGAGACCUAUCGUGGGGGGAUGGCCAUCAACCGCUUCCGCCUUGAGAAUGACCUGGAGGAACUUGCUUUGUACCAGAUCCAGCUGCUGAAGGACCUCAGACAUACAGAGAAUGAAGAGGACAAAGUCAGCUCCUCCAGCUUCCGCCAGCGAAUGUUGGGGAACCUGCUUCGGCCUCCAUAUGUAAGCUCCUCUCCCUCCUUCCCUCCUGCUUGGUGUCCUGGCAAUGCUGGAGAGUAGAAGCUGAGGGGCUCAGCCCCAGGCAUGAGGCUGAGGG